Molecule: non-coding RNA, 78 nt
Organism: Oryzias latipes (Japanese medaka)
Lineage: Eukaryota; Metazoa; Chordata; Actinopteri; Beloniformes; Adrianichthyidae
Source: Rfam
CCCCGGUGAACAUUCAACGCUGUCGGUGAGUUUGAGCUAAAUUGAAGAAAACCAUCGACCGUUGACUGUACCCUGUGG